This is a non-coding RNA of Cladochytrium replicatum, 74 nucleotides long. Lineage: Eukaryota; Fungi; Chytridiomycota; Chytridiomycetes; Cladochytriales; Cladochytriaceae. The record is from the annotation of a GenBank genome assembly.
GUUCCAGUAGCUCAGUGGUUAGAGCAGCUUUAUGCAAAGCUGAAGGUCAGGGAUUCAAGUCCCCUCUGCAGACU